CUUUGUUUUGAUGACUUGUAGAUUUUUGCAAUAAGUAUGUGAGUUCUUUAUGACUAAUGUUGAGUCCAUGGAUUAUACGCACUCUCAUCCUUCCAUCAUUGCUAGCCUCUUCGGUACCAUGCAUUGCCCUUUCUCACCUCGAGAAGUUGGUGCAAACUUCGCCGGUGCAUCCAAACCCCGUGAUACGAUACGCUCUAUCACACAUAAGCCUCCUUAUAUCUUCCUCAAAACAGCCACCAUACCUACCUAUUAUGGCAUUUCCAUAGCCAUUCC
This 273-nucleotide ribosomal RNA is filed under the name Triticum aestivum (bread wheat). RNAcentral's name for it is "partial small subunit ribosomal RNA". Lineage: Eukaryota; Viridiplantae; Streptophyta; Magnoliopsida; Poales; Poaceae. The record is from RNAcentral.